This 253-nucleotide ribosomal RNA is filed under the name uncultured bacterium. RNAcentral's name for it is "partial 16S ribosomal RNA". It matches the Rfam family "Bacterial small subunit ribosomal RNA", at positions 524 to 776 of the family's 1533-position model. The record is from RNAcentral.
UACGUAGGGUGCAAGCGUUGUCCGGAAUUAUUGGGCGUAAAGAGCUCGUAGGUGGCCUGUCGCGUCGGCUGUGAAAACUCGGGGCUCAACUCCGAGCCUGCACCCGAUACGGGCGGGCUAGAGUUCGGCAGGGGAGACUGGAAUUCCUGGUGUAGCGGUGGAAUGCGCAGAUAUCGGGAGGAACACCUGUGGCGAAGGCGGCCAUCUGGACGACAAUUGACGCUGAGACGCGAAAGCGUGGGUAGCAAACAGG